This 468-nucleotide ribosomal RNA is filed under the name uncultured bacterium. Its description in RNAcentral is "partial 16S ribosomal RNA". It matches the Rfam family "Bacterial small subunit ribosomal RNA", at positions 28 to 507 of the family's 1533-position model. The record is from RNAcentral.
GACGAACGCUGGCGGCGUGCUUAACACAUGCAAGUCGAACGGAAAGGCCCUGCUUUUGUGGGGUGCUCGAGUGGCGAACGGGUGAGUAACACGUGAGUAACCUGCCCUUGACUUUGUGAUAACAUCACGAAACUGGGGCUAAUACCGGAUAGGAGCUCCUGCUGCAUGGUGGGGGUUGGAAAGUUUCGGCGGUUGUGGAUGGUCUCGCGGCUUAUCAGCUUGUUGGUGGGGUAGUGGUGUACCAAGGCUUUGACGGGUAGCCGGCCUGGGAGGGGGGCCGGCGACAUUGGGACUGAGAUAGGGACCAGACUGCUACGGGAGGCAGCAGUGGGGAAUAUUGCAGAAUGGGCGGAAGUCUGAGGUAGAGGCGCCGGGUGCGGAAUGACGGCUUUCGGGUUGUAAACCGCUUUCGAAGGUGACGUAGCGGGAGUGACGGUAAUGGGUAAAGAAGCACCGGCUAACUACGUG